RNAcentral lists this ribosomal RNA (465 nucleotides) under uncultured bacterium. RNAcentral's name for it is "partial 16S ribosomal RNA". It matches the Rfam family "Bacterial small subunit ribosomal RNA", at positions 28 to 507 of the family's 1533-position model. The record is from RNAcentral.
GACGAACGCUGGCGGCGUGCUUAACACAUGCAAGUCGAACGGAAAGGCCCCUUUGUGGGUACUCGAGCGGCGAACGGGUGAGUAACACGUGAGUAACCUGCCCUUGACUUCGGGAUAACUUCAGUAAACUGGGGCUAAUACCGGAUAGGAAUCCUUGCUGCAUGGUGGGGGUUGGAAAGCUUUGGCGGUUUUGGAUGGACUCGCGGCCUAUCAGCUUGUUGGUGGGGUAGUGGCUUACCAAGGCUUUGACGGGUAGCCGGCCUGAGAGGGCGACCGGCCACAUUGGGACUGAGAUACGGCCCAGACUCCUACGGGAGGCAGCAGUGGGGAAUAUUGCACCAUGGGCGGAAGCCUGAUGCAGCAACGCCGCGUGCGGGAUGACGGCCUUCGGGUUGUAAACCGCUUUCAGCAGGGGCGAAGCUUGUGGUGACGGUACCUGCAGAAGAAGCACCGGCUAACUACGUG